CUGCCCUCAAGCCCGGCUUGUGUGUUGGGUCUCGUCCCCCUCCCGGGGGGACGGGCCCGAAAGGCAGCGGCGGCACCGUGUCCGGUCCUCGAGCGUAUGGGGCUUUGUCACCCGCUCUGUAGGCCCGGCCGGCGCUUUAGCCGACAACCCAAUCUAUUUUUCA
Molecule: unclassified non-coding RNA, 163 nt
Filed under: uncultured Penicillium
Lineage: Eukaryota; Fungi; Ascomycota; Eurotiomycetes; Eurotiales; Aspergillaceae
Description: sequence contains ITS2
Source: RNAcentral